Molecule: ribosomal RNA, 953 nt
Filed under: Escherichia coli
Lineage: Bacteria; Pseudomonadati; Pseudomonadota; Gammaproteobacteria; Enterobacterales; Enterobacteriaceae
Description: partial 23S ribosomal RNA
Rfam family: Bacterial large subunit ribosomal RNA
Source: RNAcentral
GUGACUGCGUACCUUUUGUAUAAUGGGUCAGCGACUUAUAUUCUGUAGCAAGGUUAACCGAAUAGGGGAGCCGAAGGGAAACCGAGUCUUAACUGGGCGUUAAGUUGCAGGGUAUAGACCCGAAACCCGGUGAUCUAGCCAUGGGCAGGUUGAAGGUUGGGUAACACUAACUGGAGGACCGAACCGACUAAUGUUGAAAAAUUAGCGGAUGACUUGUGGCUGGGGGUGAAAGGCCAAUCAAACCGGGAGAUAGCUGGUUCUCCCCGAAAGCUAUUUAGGUAGCGCCUCGUGAAUUCAUCUCCGGGGGUAGAGCACUGUUUCGGCAAGGGGGUCAUCCCGACUUACCAACCCGAUGCAAACUGCGAAUACCGGAGAAUGUUAUCACGGGAGACACACGGCGGGUGCUAACGUCCGUCGUGAAGAGGGAAACAACCCAGACCGCCAGCUAAGGUCCCAAAGUCAUGGUUAAGUGGGAAACGAUGUGGGAAGGCCCAGACAGCCAGGAUGUUGGCUUAGAAGCAGCCAUCAUUUAAAGAAAGCGUAAUAGCUCACUGGUCGAGUCGGCCUGCGCGGAAGAUGUAACGGGGCUAAACCAUGCACCGAAGCUGCGGCAGCGACGCUUAUGCGUUGUUGGGUAGGGGAGCGUUCUGUAAGCCUGUGAAGGUGUGCUGUGAGGCAUGCUGGAGGUAUCAGAAGUGCGAAUGCUGACAUAAGUAACGAUAAAGCGGGUGAAAAGCCCGCUCGCCGGAAGACCAAGGGUUCCUGUCCAACGUUAAUCGGGGCAGGGUGAGUCGACCCCUAAGGCGAGGCCGAAAGGCGUAGUCGAUGGGAAACAGGUUAAUAUUCCUGUACUUGGUGUUACUGCGAAGGGGGGACGGAGAAGGCUAUGUUGGCCGGGCGACGGUUGUCCCGGUUUAAGCGUGUAGGCUGGUUUUCCAGGCAAAUCCGGAAAA